RNAcentral lists this ribosomal RNA (252 nucleotides) under uncultured bacterium. RNAcentral's name for it is "partial 16S ribosomal RNA". It matches the Rfam family "Bacterial small subunit ribosomal RNA", at positions 524 to 776 of the family's 1533-position model. The record is from RNAcentral.
UACGGGGGGAGCAAGCGUUGUUCGGAAUCACUGGGCGUAAAGGGCGCGUAGGCGGGGAGGUAAGUCGGGUGUGAAAUCCCUCGGCCCAACCGAGGAACUGCGCCCGAGACUGCUUCUCUUGAGUCCCGGAGAGGAAGAUGGAAUUCCCGGUGUAGCGGUGAAAUGUGUAGAGAUCGGGAGGAACACCGGUGGCGAAGGCGGUCUCUGGACGGUGACUGACGCUGAGGCGCGAAAGCGUGGGGAGCAAACGGG